AUGAAAGCAAGAGGAGAGACUGUUGGAUAACAGCGCCGAAGGAGCAAGCAAAUUUCUUGUGAAUCUCUCAGGCAAAAAGACUCUUGCCGGACG
RNAcentral lists this non-coding RNA (93 nucleotides) under Bacillus sp. (in: firmicutes). RNAcentral describes it as "Bacillus sp. Glycine sequence". It matches the Rfam family "Glycine riboswitch aptamer". Rfam says of the family: This family represents the bacterial glycine riboswitch. Glycine riboswitches usually consist of two metabolite-binding aptamers domains with similar structures in tandem. The record is from RNAcentral. Lineage: Bacteria; Bacillati; Bacillota; Bacilli; Caryophanales; Bacillaceae.